Aedes aegypti (yellow fever mosquito) is the source of this 1220-nucleotide long non-coding RNA. RefSeq lists it as uncharacterized. The record is from RefSeq and is a predicted model, not a curated record. Lineage: Eukaryota; Metazoa; Arthropoda; Insecta; Diptera; Culicidae. The transcript has 2 exons.
UUAAAAAACAGUCAAUCAUCGAGCAAAUAAACAUCAUCAUAGUGCUCAAAAUUAUUGCACAAAUAUUUGAUAGCGCCAGUAACGUACGAACAGUGUCUAAGUAUGCAGCAUCUGCUUCGAUUAUGUUCAAUUUUAGUGGCCAUAGCUGCUUCAGCCAUUCCAUUUCCAACAGGACUGACUUGUUCAGAGAAAGAUCAUGACCAAGCUUGUCACAUUGAAGGAUUCACGUUCGAUUCCGCUGCGUCUUCGAACAGUCUUUCCUUUCCUGAUGUUCCUCUGCUUUAUCUAGACAACUGUACUAUUGAUGACUUUUCCUAACACUUUGCAUCACAUAUCCCAGCACAACUGAGAGUCUAUUCAUACUGGAUGGAUACGUUCCGAAAGUGUAUCUCAAACCGAGUUUGAAGUCGUUUACUGCUCUACGCGCCGCCACUGCUGAAAUCGCGAUUGAUCCCGAUGACAAUCACAAUUUGGAAAUCCUAGACAUUGAAGGGCUUCUGCAGUCCAUUCCAUUUGUUUGGCACUUGAAAAAGCUAGCCACUCUGGACUUGUGCGUGAAUGAAAUCAAAAGUUGGAAUCUCAAUCAUCUGGAUGGACUUGGCCAGCUCAGAAAGUUGAACUUGGGUCAUAAUCAAAUUGAUACUGUUAUUUCUUCAAGCGAAGUGAAUCUUCCGCUCUAAAAGAGCUGUUUCUGCAUGAUAAUAGAAUCACGACAUUGGAUUUGACUCACUUGAAGGCAGAUCGUUUGGAGCGACUGUAUCUAUCGCAGAACCAUCUAAUUCAAAUAGAAGGAUUCCCGCAACGCUUCAAUCAUUUGCGUAGAGUGGAUUUGUACCAGAACAAAGGAACUGUGAGUGGUUGGAGAGGACACUGAGUGUGCUGAAGAACGCUGGAGUAGAAACGCUGAGCUAUCUACCGGGGAAGGUGUGUGACGAGAGCGGGAGCGUUAAGGUCGAAGGUGUCAUGUGCGAUAAGGAUUCCACUGCAUUCUGAGUGCAGCGUAAUCAAUUGCUUUGCAAUGAUGGCAUUCUCAAUGCGGAUUUGAAUUGAUGAUGGUGUGAUGACUGAUGAACACAAUACGAAAAUGUACAUUUUUUAAGUUUCUAAUGACUAACACAAGCCGCGCGUGACUUAAUAUGUACAAAGAAAAUUAAUAGCAGAAUGAGAUGUAGAGCUUAGUUGAAUAAUCCUCUUAUACACUACUUAGUUUUUAGACAGAA